Molecule: non-coding RNA, 187 nt
Organism: Salvelinus sp. IW2-2015
Lineage: Eukaryota; Metazoa; Chordata; Actinopteri; Salmoniformes; Salmonidae
Source: RefSeq, a predicted model, not a curated record
AUCAGGUCCUAUUCUAAUCACAGUCAUUCCGAUAAUACUCGGCCUACUGUUACUUAUCGGAUAUACUGCAUCUGGAAAAGAAAGAUAUUAAAAGGGUGCUGUGUAUCCACCUCAGGGAGUCCAGAAGAGGAGGGCUCUGUGGUGUAGCCUACUCUGUCAGACCCUGCAUUUCACCUUCUUCCCCAUU